GCUCCGGUGACCUAGUGGUUAGAAUGUCUGCCUUGGAUGCGGGAGGUCGUGGGUUAGAUCCCUGGUCGAGUCA
Non-coding RNA from Potamilus streckersoni, 73 nucleotides. The record is from the annotation of a GenBank genome assembly. Lineage: Eukaryota; Metazoa; Mollusca; Bivalvia; Unionida; Unionidae.